Molecule: ribosomal RNA, 253 nt
Filed under: uncultured bacterium
Lineage: Bacteria
Description: partial 16S ribosomal RNA
Rfam family: Bacterial small subunit ribosomal RNA
Source: RNAcentral
UACGUAGGGGGCAAGCGUUGUCCGGAUUUAUUGGGCGUAAAGCGCUCGCAGGUGGUUCGAUGCGUCGUGCGUGAAAGACCCCGGCUCAACUGGGGAGGGUCGUGCGAUACGGUCGAACUGGAGGCCAGUAGGGGGAUGCGGAAUUCCGGGUGUAGUGGUGGAAUGCGUAGAUAUCGGGAGGAACACCUGUGGCGAAAGCGGCGCACUGGACCACAACUGACGCUGAGGCGCGAAAGCUAGGGGAGCAAACAGG